Molecule: long non-coding RNA, 2132 nt
Organism: Medicago truncatula (barrel medic)
Lineage: Eukaryota; Viridiplantae; Streptophyta; Magnoliopsida; Fabales; Fabaceae
Exons: 3
Source: RefSeq, a predicted model, not a curated record
AUUUGAAUUUCAACCAGCUCCAAGUUUUCUUUUUCCAGAUGCGUUUUUCGUUUUUCAAUGCAACAACAAAUACAAAUUGAUUUAUACAAACUCACCUUUCUUCUUUUUCUGUGCAACCUUUUGAAUUCCAUCUAGCUUCAUUUCAAUACCUCUCUCUCUCUCUCUCUCUCUCUCUCUCUCUCUCUCUCUCCACGCCAAUGAAGAAAAUUUCACUCUCUUCCAUGUCUUUUCUACUUUCACCGUCGUAUUUCUCCUCUCAUCCCUCGCCGUCGUCGACUCAACUGCCACCGUCUGCGCCCUCCUAAAGCAACAAGGUGUCCUUGAUUUUGAAUUCCUUUUUGGAUUGUUGACAACUUGCUUGCGAUGGUGGGGCAGAGCUCACAGUGGUAUGACGAUGCCUUUGUACUAUAGUGUGUUUUUCUUCUUUGUUUGAUUUUUGUUCCAAUGUUGAAAAUAAACAAAUUUGCUGGUAGUUUGAAGUUUAUAUUGGUUGAAAAUUGAAACAAAAUGUGUUGACUCAUUUGAUGGGAGAGACUUUGAAUAGUUUGAUUUCUUAUAUUUAUGCUUACCAUCUCAAUUUGAAGAUCCUUUUAUUUUUUUUAAUUUUACUUAUAUUAUAAAGAGUUUCUUUCAAAUUUUUACAUGUAUAACUGUGUGUUGAAUCAUUUAGAAUAUGGAGUAGCCUUAGAUAGCAUACAUUGCAACUUUGGUUUUUUUAUUGAUAGUAUAGCAUGAAAUACUUUAUAAUGAUAUUUGAGCAGAUCUAACUCAAUUAUAUUAUUUUUUGAAAGGAUUCUUCAUAAAAACUUUAGGCAUGAACCAAAAAUGUACGACACAUUUGGAUCUUAAAGCAGCCUAUAACUCAAAAAGCUAUUUAGCAUGAUAUUUUAUGUUGAGAAUGUGUCUUGAUAGAUGGUGUUAUGUAUCUCAUUUUCAAAUUGCUAUAUAGUGUUGGUAGUUGAUGUGUUUUUAGAUCGUAUUUGAAUUAAGAAGACUUAAGCUUAUAUGUCCAAGACUUAAGCUUAUAUGUUCGGACAUGAGGGAGCUUUUUCUUCGUGGCUGUCAGCGUGUGUUAUACUGCAUUAUGUGUUUUGUUUAUGUAAGUUUUUUUCCUCCGCUGCUACUUCAAGGUCUGCCUUCAAUGUUUCUGUUUAGCCAUUUUGUGCGAUAGGCUUUUUUCAUUCAAUUUUACUCUUUGCCUAAUUUGUGUUGCAUGCAUGAAUCCAUGUCUCUCUUCUUUAGGACUUCUCAUGUAUAAAUAGGGACCAUUUAUUUUAUUUUGAUUCACAUUUUCUUAAAAUUGUUUAUAUCUUUUCUUUUUAUUACUCUCUCUAACACUUCUUUGUUUGACAUUUUUAUGGAUUUGCAUUUGCAAGAAUUUAAACCCCUCAUUUGGGUUUUUUUGCAUACUAUUUUCCCUAGAUUGUGUGAUUAUGGAAGGUUAAACUUGAAAUGAGAAUGGCAAUUAACUCUGUUUAUCUUAAGGACCAUGAUAUCUAUUGAUGCUGCUUGAUGAAUUAAGGGAGUUGGCAUUUUCAAGAAAUCUAUUGAAACAUUUACCCAAACUUGGAGAAGAGGUGAAAGCUUUGUUAGUUAAAUUCAAUUAUAGAGCUAAUGAGCUUUCUGAGAAACAAAGUUCUGGUAUUAUUGUUUUCACCAAAAUCUUUAUAGACACCACAUUGAAUAUUGAUGAAGGAAAACCGAGCAAUGUUACCCUUAAACAUCUUAAAUGUGGAUCAUAAAGUUUCAAUAUCCAAGCUUCAAGCAAUAAAGACAAGAUAAUGAAGUUUGACGAGUCCAUUAGUGCCGCUGAGGAUAAGAUCAAGGCCUGGGAUGUUGAAAUUGAAGAUAUCAAAGCACAGAAUCGUUUGCACAAGGAGAAAGCACGUAGGGUUCAACAAGAGAAGCCAUAGUUAGAGGAUGCUUGCUCAAAAUGUAAGGAGAAGAUAACUGAAAUUGUGGAAGAAGCUAAAAAUGUAGCCUCUAUUACCAUACAAACCCGCGAGAAGAUUGAUAAUGUAAAAAAGAAGCGGGAGUUGAAUUCAAAUUAUGAUACACUUGAAGGAAAUUAUGCCAUAUAAACUCUCACCUGCAUAAUGAAACUUAUAUGUUAUUUAAUGUUUUCAGGUGAA